This 918-nucleotide ribosomal RNA is filed under the name Candidatus Phytoplasma asteris-related phytoplasma. RNAcentral describes it as "bacterial SSU rRNA". It matches the Rfam family "Bacterial small subunit ribosomal RNA", at positions 218 to 1145 of the family's 1533-position model. The record is from RNAcentral. Lineage: Bacteria; Bacillati; Mycoplasmatota; Mollicutes; Acholeplasmatales; Acholeplasmataceae.
CUUAGGGAGGAGCUUGCGUCACAUUAGUUAGUUGGUGGGGUAAAGGCCUACCAAGACUAUGAUGUGUAGCCGGGCUGAGAGGUUGAACGGCCACAUUGGGACUGAGACACGGCCCAAACUCCUACGGGAGGCAGCAGUAGGGAAUUUUCGGCAAUGGAGGAAACUCUGACCGAGCAACGCCGCGUGAACGAUGAAGUAUUUCGGUACGUAAAGUUCUUUUAUUAGGGAAGAAUAAAUGAUGGAAAAAUCAUUCUGACGGUACCUAAUGAAUAAGCCCCGGCUAACUAUGUGCCAGCAGCCGCGGUAAUACAUAGGGGGCAAGCGUUAUCCGGAAUUAUUGGGCGUAAAGGGUGCGUAGGCGGUUAAAUAAGUUUAUGGUCUAAGUGCAAUGCUCAACAUUGUGAUGCUAUAAAAACUGUUUAGCUAGAGUAAGAUAGAGGCAAGUGGAAUUCCAUGUGUAGUGGUAAAAUGCGUAAAUAUAUGGAGGAACACCAGUAGCGAAGGCGGCUUGCUGGGUCUUUACUGACGCUGAGGCACGAAAGCGUGGGGAGCAAACAGGAUUAGAUACCCUGGUAGUCCACGCCGUAAACGAUGAGUACUAAACGUUGGGUAAAACCAGUGUUGAAGUUAACACAUUAAGUACUCCGCCUGAGUAGUACGUACGCAAGUAUGAAACUUAAAGGAAUUGACGGGACUCCGCACAAGCGGUGGAUCAUGUUGUUUAAUUCGAAGGUACCCGAAAAACCUCACCAGGUCUUGACAUGCUUCUGCAAAACUGUAGAAACACAGUGGAGGUUAUCAGUUGCACAGGUGGUGCAUGGUUGUCGUCAGCUCGUGUCGUGAGAUGNUGGGUUAAGUCCCGCAACGAGCGCAACCCUUAUUGNUAGUUACCAGCACGUAAUGGUGGGGACUUUAGCA